Molecule: small RNA, 595 nt
Filed under: Rattus norvegicus (Norway rat)
Lineage: Eukaryota; Metazoa; Chordata; Mammalia; Rodentia; Muridae
Description: uncharacterized LOC102552950
Source: RNAcentral
UGGUACAACAAGAAAUCAGAAACUAGAUACUUCGAGAGUAAGUUCGUUCAGCAAUAGAGUGAAGUCACAAUGGUCCCUUGAGGGUGUUUUUCUGCCUACAAAAUCAGAGUCCCCUGUAGAGUUCUAAAGUGCCACAGCCUUCUACAAGCUUCUUAGCAUUUUCACUGAUUUAGAGGAAGCUUCUCUGAUGAAGGCUGAGUGGGGCAAUGAUCUAUGAAAACUCAGGGUGCUCUUAAUCAGGCUGUGCGGAAACAACAUCCUUUGGUAUUUACCCAAAGAAGAUCAACAGCUUCCUCCGCACCGAGUCUGCACAGGAAUGCAGCAGACAAUGCCUUCAUGUUGUCUAGCCUUGAACUCUGAGUUUCAAGAUGACAUGCGGAGCAUUUUUCAAGAUUAUCCUCUAGGCUUAUGAAUCAAGAUUGGCCUUGGAGUUGAUUCUGAAAGACAUCAAAGAAAGGAAACCUCAACUGAAGAUUCGAAACUAGGUCUACCCAACGCUAGAGACUGUUAGGAGAGCAAUGCAUAGGAUGCAUGACCGAAAUCACCUGCUAAGUGGCAUUUACUGCUCACUAAUAAACCAAAAGACCAUUUGUUA